Molecule: small RNA, 20 nt
Filed under: Arabidopsis thaliana (thale cress)
Lineage: Eukaryota; Viridiplantae; Streptophyta; Magnoliopsida; Brassicales; Brassicaceae
Description: ATSL262250
Source: RNAcentral
UUUUUUUUCUGUUUUUAAUA